GAGGGUAUAGCUUAAGGGUAGAGCACAUGCUUAGCAUGCACGAGGUCCUGGGUUCAAUCCCCAGUACCUCCA
Molecule: transfer RNA, 72 nt
Filed under: Camelus dromedarius (Arabian camel)
Lineage: Eukaryota; Metazoa; Chordata; Mammalia; Artiodactyla; Camelidae
Also listed under: 2 other names
Rfam family: tRNA
About the family: Transfer RNA (tRNA) molecules are approximately 80 nucleotides in length.
Source: Rfam by way of RNAcentral